RNAcentral lists this long non-coding RNA (1006 nucleotides) under Rhinopithecus bieti (black snub-nosed monkey). RNAcentral describes it as "lncRNA (ENSRBIG00000046409.1)". Lineage: Eukaryota; Metazoa; Chordata; Mammalia; Primates; Cercopithecidae. The record is from RNAcentral.
CUAUCAUCUCACAUCAUUACAAGAAGAAGGAUAAGUACUGUAUAAUAAGAUAAUUUCAGAGAGACACAGACCACAUUCUCAUAACUUUUAUUAUAACAUAUUGUUAUAGUUGUUCCAUUUUAUUAACAGAUAUUGUUAAUCUCUUACUGUGCCUAAUUAAUAAAUUAAACUUUAUCAUAAGUAUGUAUGUAUAGAAAAAAAGGGUAAUAUAUAUAGGGCUUGGUGCUAUCUGUGAUUUCAGGCAUCAACUGGGGCUUUGGAACACAUCCCCGAGGAUCAGAGGACUUCUGUAUGUGUGUGUAUUCUUGUUGAGUGACAGAAAAAGAGAGUUGUUUCAUAUGCAUUUACUUGGAGGCAUAGAAGACACCCUGAAAGAUAAUGUUGUUUUGAGCUGGCAUAGUCUGCAGGAAUCAGUGUUCUUUUUGGGCUAUGUUUUUGUGAUACAUCUAACUCAUGCUAAGCACCAUAAAGUUUAUAGCCCAGAGACUGGCAGCCAAUUCCUCUCGGGAAUGUACAUCCAUCCACCCUCUAUGGCUGAUUCUUUCUGAUCUCUAAGCCUGCACUGAGGCACUUACUUAGGAAAACUUUUAUCAAGUGCUUGUAAAAAUCUGAGACCGACCUCUUGCUGCAGAUUAGAAUAUCAUCAGAAGAUUUCCGUAAGCCAUGGAAGGCUUUUCUCUUCCUCAGCAGAGAGAAGAUGAAUGGUUUUACAAAUCCCUGAGGAGACUCUGUGGAGCUAUAGACAGAGAUGGAAGAUCUUCCCAUUGAAGCCGCAGGGCUCCAUCUUAGCUCUGGCAUUACAACACAAAGUCUGGAGAGAACAAAGUCAAGAAGCAUGCCUUUAGUCCAGUAUCCCUUUAUUUGGGAUUGCAGACGUUUGUGUUUAGAUGGAGACACUGCAAGAUCAAAGCAUCUUGAAAUGUAUGUACCACGGGAAAGACAGAAACUCUGGAAUGCCUCUGAGACCUGCAGCAGAGUUGGAGUGCAAGGAUUCAUCAGCACAUAG